This 456-nucleotide ribosomal RNA is filed under the name Selenomonas sputigena. RNAcentral describes it as "bacterial SSU rRNA". It matches the Rfam family "Bacterial small subunit ribosomal RNA", at positions 28 to 466 of the family's 1533-position model. The record is from RNAcentral. Lineage: Bacteria; Bacillati; Bacillota; Negativicutes; Selenomonadales; Selenomonadaceae.
GACGAACGCUGGCGGCGUGUUUAACACAUGCAAGUCGAACGGGAACCUUUAUUUCGGUAAAGGAGAGAGUGGCAAACGGGUGAGUAACACGUAGGCAACCUGCCGACAGGAUGGGGACAACAUUCCGAAAGGAAUGCUAAUACCGAAUGGAGUCCGAGGAUGGCAUCAUCCUUGGAUCAAAGAUGGCCUCUUAACAAUGCUAUCGCCUGUCGAUGGGCCUGCGUCUGAUUAGCCAGUUGGCGGGGUAACGGCCCACCAAAGCGACGAUCAGUAGCCGGUCUGAGAGGAUGAACGGCCACAUUGGGACUGAGACACGGCCCAGACUCCUACGGGAGGCAGCAGUGGGGAAUCUUCCACAAUGGGCGAAAGCCUGAUGGAGCAACGCCGCGUGAGUGAAGAAGGUCUUCGGAUCGUAAAGCUCUGUUGCACGGGACGAAAAACUGGGUUUGAAAAACA